Molecule: transfer RNA, 86 nt
Filed under: Anaerolineae bacterium
Lineage: Bacteria; Bacillati; Chloroflexota; Anaerolineae
Description: tRNA-Leu
Rfam family: tRNA
About the family: Transfer RNA (tRNA) molecules are approximately 80 nucleotides in length. Their secondary structure includes four short double-helical elements and three loops (D, anti-codon, and T loops).
Source: RNAcentral
GGGCCGGUGGCGGAACGGCAGACGCUGCGGACUUAAAAUCCGCUCCCUCUAAGGGGGUGAGGGUCCGAAGGCCUCCCGCCCUACCA